Oryctolagus cuniculus (rabbit) is the source of this 1641-nucleotide long non-coding RNA. The record is from Ensembl. NCBI's taxonomy places the organism in Eukaryota, Metazoa, Chordata, Mammalia, Lagomorpha, Leporidae.
UUGCAACAGCCUUUGCUCUCCUGUUACUCGCAACCACCAGAUUCCAGUGUCUGCACGCAUGUGGAAGGCAGCACUCCAGUAUGGGACGCGGACAUCCCAGGCAGCAUCUUAAAGCUUCCACCAGACGCUCGCCCUGGGAAUUUUCAUUCUUACGAGACAACGCAGACGUGGUUCAACAGGGCGGCUGUGGUCACCUCUGCCCCCCCACAUGUUCACGUGCGUGCUCCCCACACUCAACCCACACACAUGUUUACACACUCUGUCCCCACAUGCAUGUUCACCCACACACAUGUUCACACACUCUGCCCCCACACACAUGUUCACCCACACACAUGUUCACACACGCUGCCCCACACACGUGUUCACACACACAUGUUCACACUCUGCUCCCCACACACAUGUUCACACACUCUGCCCCACACAUGUUCACCCACACACCUGUUCACACACUCUGCCCCACACACAUGUUCAGCCACACACCUGUUCACACACUCUGCCCCACACACAUGUUCACCCACACACAUGUUCACACACUCUGCCCACACACAUGUUCACACACUGCCACACACAUGUUCACACACUCUAGGGCCUGGGCCACUCCAGUCGGUGAAAACCACUCCUCAGAUGACCAAGUUCUAUGAAUGUGGCCAAGCCUCUGUCCCAUCUUUUACAUCCUGAGUUAAUCUGGAAAAAUCCGCACCUGUGCCAGUUCACAGCCCUUCUCUCCUCUGUGGACAGAGGCGGCGGCUCACAGACGGGGACUGCAGGGGUGUCGCCAGCCCUUCCCCUCCGACUCGGCUUCCAUCUCCUCCUGCCAAGGACCAUGGAGGACAGGGGUGCGCUCGUCUCUCCCAUGGCAGCGAGCCUGGGACAGGAGAACACAUCUCCAGCGAGACGAGGAGCCCUUGGCCGGCCCUAAAGCUCGUGUGUAGCUCCAGGUGCCGGCUCAGCCAGCUGUGCAGAAUGGAGUUGUGCUCAUCUCCAUUCCUCCUGUGCCCCGGGGCUCCAGCAAGACCCAGGCAAAGCCUGGCGUAAGUCCCCAGCUGGACAGCUGCGUGGCUUGCCCAUUUCUUUGUGUCUCAUCUCUCGUACCUGGUGGCUUAUGGGUAGAAGACUGCACUUGACCCAUUCCGUCGCCCCAACCCCACCUAUGCCUUCUUCCCGGACUGCGCCCUCAGGAUCCGAGCGUCCUAGGACCACCAUUCAAAACCUCCGAGCCUGAAGCUGCGAGCAGGUUCUCAUUCUGGCUUCUCCAUGGAUGGGGUGAGUUCUGUGCCGAGCAACCCGCGGUGGCCUGAUGCUAAAUCUUCCUCGUUCCAGCUCUCCUGUUUCAGGACUUAUGAAUUAUUAAGCAGCCCUCUGUUUGUAAUGCCGGGCUCUCCGCUUCCUCCAAAUUAAAUUACCGAGGGAUAUAUUUGAUUAUAAACAUACUUAGUGAAUGUUUUCAUUGUUGCUUUCUGUAGCUUCCUUUGUACUAAAGUGUUAGAAUGUCAAAAAGUCAACCGCAAACAUCUACAGCCCGCUGUGGAAAACCCUUUAAAGCAAGCGCCGGGCAAAUUAAGUAAUCAAAAAUGAAAACCACUUUAGGACAAUAGUGAAUAUAAUUUGUCAUCCCUCAAAAAAAAAAAAAAAAAAAGCUGG